CAAUAGGCCCUUUUUAGGGCCCACAAAUGUGUACUUAAGAGUUAUUU
This is a non-coding RNA of Aedes aegypti (yellow fever mosquito), 47 nucleotides long. The record is from Rfam. Lineage: Eukaryota; Metazoa; Arthropoda; Insecta; Diptera; Culicidae.